AUUGAACGCUGGCGGCAGGCCUAACACAUGCAAGUCGAGCGGAUGAAGGGAGCUUGCUCCUGGAUUCAGCGGCGGACGGGUGAGUAAUGCCUAGGAAUCUGCCUGGUAGUGGGGGAUAACGUCCGGAAACGGGCGCUAAUACCGCAUACGUCCUGAGGGAGAAAGUGGGGGAUCUUCGGACCUCACGCUAUCAGAUGAGCCUAGGUCGGAUUAGCUAGUUGGUGGGGUAAAGGCCCACCAAGGCGACGAUCCGUAACUGGUCUGAGAGGAUGAUCAGUCACGCUGGAACUGAGACACGGUCCAGACUCCUACGGGAGGCAGCAGUGGGGAAUAUUGGACAAUGGGCGAAAGCCUGAUCCAGCCAUGCCGCGUGUGUGAAGAAGGUCUUCGGAUUGUAAAGCACUUUAAGUUGGGAGGAAGGGCAGUAAGUUAAUACCUUGCUGUUUUGACGUUACCAACAGAAUAAGCACCGGCUAACUUCGUG
This 484-nucleotide ribosomal RNA is filed under the name uncultured bacterium. Its description in RNAcentral is "partial 16S ribosomal RNA". It matches the Rfam family "Bacterial small subunit ribosomal RNA", at positions 30 to 507 of the family's 1533-position model. The record is from RNAcentral.